Molecule: long non-coding RNA, 1625 nt
Filed under: Salmo salar (Atlantic salmon)
Lineage: Eukaryota; Metazoa; Chordata; Actinopteri; Salmoniformes; Salmonidae
Description: lncRNA (ENSSSAG00000105503.1)
Source: RNAcentral
GGUAUUCACCUGGCUGGUGUUUACCUGGCUGGUAUUCACCUGGCUGGUGUUCACCUGGCUGGUAUUCACCUGGCUGGUGUUCACCUGGAACUGGCUGGUGUUCACCUGGCUGGUAUUUACCUGGCUGCCGCUGUGCUGAUAAAUUCCUAUCACAAACCACCUGUUUCUCUUCCUCCUUCUCCUCCAUUUAAAUUAUAAUUAAAUUCAACUUUAAUUAUCUCAUCUCAGGGGCCAUCAAGAAAGGCAAUUUACACUUUAACUAUUCACUAACCAUGCAAACUGAAUGCCUAAAUAAACCUUUCUCUGUGAAUGAGAUACUUUUUGUCAUGUUUAAUUUUUUUUAAAUAAUAAUCACUCUGUCUGACUGAGGGAUUAUUAUGGUGUUAUUAUGGUGUUAUUAUGGUGUUACUCAGUGAUUAUUAUGGUGUUACUCAGUGAUUAUUAUGGUGUUACUCAAUGAUUAUUAUGGUGUUACUCAGUGAUUAUUAUGGUGUUAUUAUGGUGUUAUUAUGGUGUUACUCAGUGAUUAUUAUGGUGUUACUCAGUGAUUAUUAUGGUGUUACUCAGUGAUUAUUAUGGUGUUAUUAUGGUGUUAUUAUGGUGUUACUCAGUGAUUAUUAUGAUGUUACUCAGUGAUUAUUAUGGUGUUACUCAGUGAUUAUUAUGGUGUUACUCAGUGAUUAUUAUGAUGUUACUCAGUGAUUAUUAUGAUGUUACUCAGUGAUUAUUAUGGUGUUACGCAGUGAUUAUUAUAUUGGUACUCAGUGAUUAUUAUAUUGUUACUCAGUGAUUAUUAUGGUGUUACUCAUUGAUUAUUAAGGUGUUACUCAGUGAUUAUUAUGAUGUUACUCAGUGAUUAUUAUGGUGUUACUCAGUGAUUAUUAUGGUGUUACUCAGUGAUUAUUAUGGUGUUACUCAGUGAUUAUUAUGAUGUUACUCAGUGAUUAUUAUGAUGUUACUCAGUGAUUAUUAUGGUGUUACUCAGUGAUUAUUAUGAUGUUACUCAGUGAUUAUUAUGGUGUUACUCAGUGAUUAUUAUGAUGUUACUCAGUGAUUAUUAUGAUGUUACUCAGUGAUUAUUAUGGUGUUAUUCAGUGAUUAUUAUGGUGUUACUCAGUGAUUAUUAUGAUGAUACUCAGUGAUUAUUAUGGUGUUACUCAGUGAUUAUUAUGAUGUUACUCAGUGACACCAUUAUAUUGUUACAUGCAACAGUCAGGUGUGUCUUGAGCUAUUCUGGUGGCUCAUUAUGAGACUGUGGAACAAUGAUUGUCAGAACAAUGGCUGCCUGGGCGGAUACACUGCCAAUCCAGUUCUGUCAGUUUGGCGCCUGGCAGCAUAUACACACGUUGACAUGCACAAAUAAUACCACUCCUGUUUACCUGGCAUUUAAACUGGGCAAAGGCAAGUGCUGAGAGACAUUCCCCACAUAUAUUGUCCCAUUAGUCAAUCAAAAUAUGACAACUUUAUAAUAUAGCCCAUGCCAGGGGCCCAUCUGGAACAUUCUUAUAUGACAGACAUACUAUUGGCAUUGUUUGGUCACAGGGAAAGAACACAUGAAAACAGAGACAGAUGUGUGAGAAAGAGAGGACAGGGAAAGAGAGAACACAUGAAAACAGAAAGAGAUG